CCCCUCUCAAGGUAGCAGCUGGAGAGUUGCCAGUCCUCUGCCAGUCUCGACUACAGGAGGAAGAGUCAAGCAGAGGCCUAUCCAUUCCAUUCCUAGCUUGGCAGUGGCUAGCGAGUGGAAGACAAUCUGCUACAAGU
Molecule: small nucleolar RNA, 137 nt
Filed under: Ornithorhynchus anatinus (platypus)
Lineage: Eukaryota; Metazoa; Chordata; Mammalia; Monotremata; Ornithorhynchidae
Source: RNAcentral